GGGGGCGCAAACGGUAAUCGAUUCUUGCGCAUCCCCGUUCGUGGCAAGUCGAGGGCUCGCGAGUGGGUUGGCCUCGUAAAAAAACCCGCUCGAAAAAGAUAACUGCCGACCACGAGUUGGCUCUUGCUGCCUAAGCGAACUGCUGGACAGCAAGCGUUUAUUUCGACCCGCGCCGGUACGGGCGAGAUAAGCGUGUUCUUCUGCCGGACGACCUGCUCAUGGUUGCGGGCUCCAGGAGCGGGUGGCAAGGAAAAGCCCGGCGUACCGCCUGCAUCGCGUGUAGCCCGGCUGGCGGCGGGCGCGUUAUGUUCAUCGGGCUACUAAACUUGUAGAAGCGAACGGGAGUCCGCGAGAAGACGAGGGUUCGACUCCCUCCGCCUCCACUU
This 386-nucleotide transfer-messenger RNA is filed under the name Methylacidiphilaceae. RNAcentral describes it as "Methylacidimicrobium sp903064525 Standard tmRNA". It matches the Rfam family "transfer-messenger RNA". From Rfam's summary of the family: Bacterial tmRNA, also known as 10Sa RNA or SsrA, is named for its dual tRNA and mRNA-like properties. Its role is to liberate the mRNA from a stalled ribosome. Lineage: Bacteria; Pseudomonadati; Verrucomicrobiota; Methylacidiphilae; Methylacidiphilales. The record is from RNAcentral. RNAcentral also lists the same sequence under 1 other name.